This 966-nucleotide long non-coding RNA is filed under the name Parus major (Great Tit). RNAcentral describes it as "lncRNA (ENSPMJG00000001968.1)". Lineage: Eukaryota; Metazoa; Chordata; Aves; Passeriformes; Paridae. The record is from RNAcentral.
GAACAGGGGUGACACCACCAGGUUUAUUGGGAUGGAGCUGGGGGACCCCAAAACCGCAGGGACAGUCGGACGGAGCGUCAGUCGGACAGAGGGACAGACAGGACAGUGUCACUGCACUGUGGCCAUGGGCUCAUGAUGGUCACUGCGGUCAGGAACUGUCCCCAGGGUGGUCACUGUGGUCACUGUGGUGGUCACUGCGGUCAGGAGCUGUCCCCAGGGUGGUCACUGUGAUGGUCACUGUGGUCAGGAGCUGUCCCCAUGGUGGUCAUGAUGGUCACUGUGGUGGUCAUUGCUCCAUGGUGGUGUCCUCAUGAUGGUCACUGUGGUCAGGAGCUGUCCCCAUGGUGGUCACUGUGGUGGUCACUGUGGUGGUCACUGCUCCAUGGUGGUGUCCUCAUGGUGGUCACUGUGGUGGUCACUGUGGUGGUCACUGCAAUGGUCACUGUUCCAUGGUGGUGUCCUCGUGGUGGUCACUGUGGUAGUCACUGUGGUCACUGUGAUGGUCACUGUGAUGGUCACUGUGGUCAGGAGCUGUCCCCAGGGUGGUCACUGUGGUCACUGUGGUGGUCACUGCUCCAUGGUGGUGUCCUCAUGGUGGUCACUGUGGUCAGGAACUGUCCCCAGGGUGGUCACUGUGGUGGUCACUGCUCCAUGGUGGUGUCCCCAUGGUGGCCGUGGUGGUCACUGUGGUGGUCACUGCUCUGUGGUGGUAUCCCCAUGAUGGUCACUGUGGUCAGGAGCUGUCCCCAUGGUGGUCACUGUGGUCACUGUGGUGGUCACUGUGGUGGUCACUGUGGUCAGGAGCUGUCUUCUCGAUGACCACAGUGAUGGUCAGUGCUCUGUGGCUGUGUGCCAGGGUGGCCACCACGAUGACCACCAUGGUCACUCACUGCUCCAUGGUGGUGUCCCUGUGCUGGUCACUGCCCCAUGGCCAUGUCCCAGGGUGGUCACCACAGUGGUCACAGU